UGAAUUUAAUGAAGGUUGAAAUUGGUGAUGAAGGAGGUCAAGUUUUGGUAUUGACAAGAUGUUGAAUUUUAUAUGGUUUGUGUUCAUGUCAAGGUUUGGAUUCUCACGGUAAACAUACAAAGAUGAUUCAAACAAGUAAGCAAGCAUAGAAGGCACAAGCAAGCAAGCAUUCAUGGAGUGAUAAAUAAAGUUUGAGGAUUACCGAUCGGAGACCCUCCGAUGGUUCUUC
RNAcentral lists this long non-coding RNA (229 nucleotides) under Lathyrus oleraceus (garden pea). RNAcentral describes it as "Pisum sativum (pea) long non-coding RNA (PSAT_LNC016153)". The record is from RNAcentral. Lineage: Eukaryota; Viridiplantae; Streptophyta; Magnoliopsida; Fabales; Fabaceae.